RNAcentral lists this ribosomal RNA (400 nucleotides) under uncultured bacterium. RNAcentral describes it as "bacterial SSU rRNA". It matches the Rfam family "Bacterial small subunit ribosomal RNA", at positions 355 to 766 of the family's 1533-position model. The record is from RNAcentral.
UCGAGAAUCAUUCACAAUGGGGGAAACCCUGAUGGUGCGACGCCGCGUGGGGGAAUGAAGGUCUUCGGAUUGUAAACCCCUGUCAUGUGGGAGCAAAUUAAAAAGAUAGUACCACAAGAGGAAGAGACGGCUAACUCUGUGCCAGCAGCCGCGGUAAUACAGAGGUCUCAAGCGUUGUUCGGAAUCACUGGGCGUAAAGCGUGCGUAGGCUGUUUCGUAAGUCGUGUGUGAAAGGCGCGGGCUCAACCCGCGGACGGCACAUGAUACUGCGAGACUAGAGUAAUGGAGGGGGAACCGGAAUUCUCGGUGUAGCAGUGAAAUGCGUAGAUAUCGAGAGGAACACUCGUGGCGAAGGCGGGUUCCUGGACAUUAACUGACGCUGAGGCACGAAGGCCAGGGG